This 982-nucleotide ribosomal RNA is filed under the name human gut metagenome. RNAcentral's name for it is "bacterial LSU rRNA". It matches the Rfam family "Bacterial large subunit ribosomal RNA", at positions 1934 to 2925 of the family's 2925-position model. The record is from RNAcentral.
CCGUAACUAUAACGGUCCUAAGGUAGCGAAAUUCCUUGUCGGGUAAGUUCCGACCCGCACGAAAGGCGUAAUGAUUUGAGCGCUGUCUCGACAAUGCAUCCGGUGAAAUUGAAGUACCAGUGAAGAUGCUGGUUACCUGCGCCAGGACGGAAAGACCCCAUGGAGCUUUACUCCAGUCUGGUACUGGGACUCGGUAUUGCAUGUACAGGAUAGGUGGGAGGCUAGGAGAUGGUAACGCCAGUUGCCAUGGAGCCGCUGUUGGGAUACCACCCUUGCAGUAUUGGGUUUCUAACCAGCCGCCGUGACCCGGCGGUGGGACAAUGCCAGACGGGGAGUUUGACUGGGGCGGUCGCCUCCGAAAGGGUAUCGGAGGCGCUCAAAGGUUCCCUCAGAAUGGUCGGAAACCAUUCGAAGAGUGCAAAGGCAGAAGGGAGCUUGACUGCGACACCGACGGGUGGAGCAGGUACGAAAGUAGGACUUAGUGAUCCGGUGGUAUUAAGUGGGAAUGCCAUCGCUCAACGGAUAAAAGCUACCCUGGGAUAACAGGCUUAUCACUCCCAAGAGUUCACAUCGACGGAGUGGUUUGGCACCUCGAUGUCGGCUCAUCGCAUCCUGGGGCUGUAGUAGGUCCCAAGGGUUGGGCUGUUCGCCCAUUAAAGCGGUACGCGAGCUGGGUUCAGAACGUCGUGAGACAGUUCGGUCCCUAUCCGGCGCGGGCGGAGGAUAUUUGAGAGGAGCUGUCCUUAGUACGAGAGGACCGGGAUGGACGGACCACUGGUGUAUCUGUUGUCGACCAACGGCAUGGCAGAGUAGCCAAGUCUGGAAGGGAUAAACGCUGAAGGCAUCUAAGCGUGAAGCCCCCCUCAAGAUGAGAUAUCCCUCCUUCGGGAGUAAGACCCCUUGAAGACUACAAGGUAGAUAGGGCAGAGGUGGAAGUGUGGCAACACAUGGAGCUGACUGUUACUAAUCGGGUGAGGGCUUG